CAUGUCUCUUACAAUGCUCCUGCCUUCCAGCCUCAGAAAUUGCUCUAUGAAAUACAAUCAAGAAAAAGCAAUUUAUGUGGAAGAGCACAGAACAAGUAGAAGAUUGCUGGGUCAUAGCUAAGAACCUGUAUUUCACACUCAAAACCCACAUAUUCAGCUGCCAAUAUGCCCACCUAUCCAGAAACUCAACCUGUUUACACCAAAAAAUCCUCAAGAGACUUGCAGGCAACCUCAGGCUUUGGAAACGAGGAACAGAGGUGCAACCUCAGGCUUUGGAGAUGAGGAACAGAAGUGGGACCUCGGGCUUUGGAGACGAGGAACAGAGGUGCAUCCUCAGGCUUUGGAAAUGAGAAACACAGGUGCAACCUCAGAUUUUGGAAAUGAGAAACAGAGGUACAUUUUCGAGUUUUCAGUACCACCACCUUUUAGAACC
Homo sapiens (human) is the source of this 433-nucleotide long non-coding RNA. The record is from Ensembl. NCBI's taxonomy places the organism in Eukaryota, Metazoa, Chordata, Mammalia, Primates, Hominidae.